Molecule: ribosomal RNA, 303 nt
Filed under: uncultured bacterium
Lineage: Bacteria
Description: partial 16S ribosomal RNA
Rfam family: Bacterial small subunit ribosomal RNA
Source: RNAcentral
AGCAGUAGCCGCGGUAAUACAGAGGGUGCGAGCGUUAAUCGGAUUUACUGGGCGUAAAGCGUGCGUAGGCGGCUUUUUAAGUCGGAUGUGAAAUCCCUGAGCUUAACUUAGGAAUUGCAUUCGAUACUGGGAAGCUAGAGUAUGGGAGAGGAUGGUAGAAUUCCAGGUGUAGCGGUGAAAUGCGUAGAGAUCUGGAGGAAUACCGAUGGCGAAGGCAGCCAUCUGGCCUAAUACUGACGCUGAGGUACGAAAGCAUGGGGAGCAAACAGGAUUAGAUACCCGUGUAGUCCCUGUCUCUUAUAA